Molecule: ribosomal RNA, 253 nt
Filed under: uncultured bacterium
Lineage: Bacteria
Description: partial 16S ribosomal RNA
Rfam family: Bacterial small subunit ribosomal RNA
Source: RNAcentral
UACGAAGGGGGCUAGCGUUGCUCGGAAUCACUGGGCGUAAAGCGCACGUAGGCGGCUUUUUAAGUCAGGGGUGAAAUCCUGGAGCUCAACUCCAGAACUGCCUUUGAUACUGGCAAUCUCGAGUCCGGGAGAGGUGAGUGGAACUGCGAGUGUAGAGGUGAAAUUCGUAGAUAUUCGCAAGAACACCAGUGGCGAAGGCGGCUCACUGGCCCGGUACUGACGCUGAGGUGCGAAAGCGUGGGGAGCAAACAGG